AGCUUUAUAUUCAAAAUGAUACCAAAUUGCAAGUUUGGUGGUGGAUUAUUCCUAAGGCUU
This 60-nucleotide transfer RNA is filed under the name Dorcus tenuihirsutus. RNAcentral's name for it is "tRNA-Cys". The record is from RNAcentral. Lineage: Eukaryota; Metazoa; Arthropoda; Insecta; Coleoptera; Lucanidae. RNAcentral also lists the same sequence under 1 other name.